RNAcentral lists this ribosomal RNA (542 nucleotides) under Colletotrichum sp. Fun56W1. Its description in RNAcentral is "eukaryotic LSU rRNA". The stretch from base 170 to 323 matches the Rfam family "5.8S ribosomal RNA". The record is from RNAcentral. Lineage: Eukaryota; Fungi; Ascomycota; Sordariomycetes; Glomerellales; Glomerellaceae.
AUUCUGAAGUUUCGCUCUAUACCUUUUUACAUACCUAUAACUGUUGCUUCGGCGGAGGGUCUCCGUGACCCUCCCGGCCUCCCGCCCCCGGGCGGGUCGGCGCCCGCCGGAGGAUAACCAAACUCUGAUUUAACGACGUUUCUUCUGAGUGGUACAAGCAAAUAAUCAAAACUUUUAACAACGGAUCUCUUGGUUCUGGCAUCGAUGAAGAACGCAGCGAAAUGCGAUAAGUAAUGUGAAUUGCAGAAUUCAGUGAAUCAUCGAAUCUUUGAACGCACAUUGCGCCCGCCAGCAUUCUGGCGGGCAUGCCUGUUCGAGCGUCAUUUCAACCCUCAAGCUCUGCUUGGUGUUGGGGCCCUACAGCUGAUGUAGGCCCUCAAAGGUAGUGGCGGACCCUCCCGGAGCCUCCUUUGCGUAGUAACUUUACGUCUCGCACUGGGAUCCGGAGGGACUCUUGCCGUAAAACCCCCAAUUUUCCAAAGGUUGACCUCGGAUCAGGUAGGAAUACCCGCUGAACUUAAGCAUAUCAAUUAACGGAGGAA